This 559-nucleotide ribosomal RNA is filed under the name uncultured bacterium. RNAcentral's name for it is "bacterial SSU rRNA". It matches the Rfam family "Bacterial small subunit ribosomal RNA", at positions 120 to 674 of the family's 1533-position model. The record is from RNAcentral.
GGGAAACUGCCCGAUGGAGGGGGAUAACUACUGGAAACGGUAGCUAAUACCGCAUAACGUCGCAAGACCAAAGUGGGGGACCUUCGGGCCUCACACCAUCGGAUGUGCCCAGAUGGGAUUAGCUAGUAGGUGGGGUAAUGGCUCACCUAGGCGACGAUCCCUAGCUGGUCUGAGAGGAUGACCAGCCACACUGGAACUGAGACACGGUCCAGACUCCUACGGGAGGCAGCAGUGGGGAAUAUUGCACAAUGGGCGCAAGCCUGAUGCAGCCAUGCCGCGUGUAUGAAGAAGGCCUUCGGGUUGUAAAGUACUUUCAGCGGGGAGGAAGGCGGUGGAGUUAAUAGCUUCACCGAUUGACGUUACCCGCAGAAUAAGCACCGGCUAACUACGUGCCAGCAGCCGCGGUAAUACGUAGGGUGCAAGCGUUAAUCGGAAUUACUGGGCGUAAAGCGUGCGCAGGCGGUUCGGAAAGAAAGAUGUGAAAUCCCAGGGCUCAACCUUGGAACUGCAUUUUUAACUACCGGACUAGAGUAUGUCAGAGGGGGGUGGAAUUCCACGU